Molecule: small RNA, 54 nt
Filed under: Caenorhabditis elegans
Lineage: Eukaryota; Metazoa; Nematoda; Chromadorea; Rhabditida; Rhabditidae
Description: Unclassified non-coding RNA Y43F8A.6
Source: RNAcentral
UUUGAAAAAAUUGAAAAUUUGAGAAAAAUUUUUUUUGGAAUUUUCGAAAUUUUU